Non-coding RNA from Triticum urartu, 1228 nucleotides. NCBI's taxonomy places the organism in Eukaryota, Viridiplantae, Streptophyta, Magnoliopsida, Poales, Poaceae. The record is from RefSeq and is a predicted model, not a curated record.
CCUCCUUUCUUUCCCACAUCCAUCCAUCGAUCCACUUCCAUCUCCUCGCUGUCUCGCCCGAUGGAGAGAGAGAGAGCUCGCCUCGUCCCUUCCAGAUCACCGCCACCACCUCCCUCCAGUAGAGCUCGUCGCCGUACAUGGCCUCCCCCAUGCCCCACCCCUCUCGCCCCUCCCCUUCCCCCACCCAACCAAACCAACCAGCCCACCCGGCACCCUAACUCCUCCAAGAAAGCAAAGCCAUGCCCUCUGACGGGGGAUGAGAUCUGCGCCUGCGGGGAAUUUAUUGGCUCUCUCCACCGGCGAGGCUUGGGGAGGCCGGCGUUCCCUGUCGAGACCCGUCGCGCACGUCCUCCAGCGCCACCCGCAGCACGUCGAGUACACCACCACCCUGGAGCACCUCGGCCUGGCCGACCUCUCGUCCCCGCACCCCCGGGCGCGUGCCGCCGCCAUGGGCAUCAUGCCCCUCCAAGUCCAAGCAGCGGGCGGCGCCGAGGAAACGAUGCAAUGGCUCUCCCCAACACCCCUCCCAUGGACUACCCCAGUUUCAAGCUCGUCCUCGUCCGCGACGGCGACACCGGCAAGACGAUGUUCGUGUAGAGGCAUAUCACCGGGGAGUUCGAGAAGAAGUACGAACCGACGAUCGCUGUGGAGGUGCGGUCGCUGGACUUCCAGACGAGCCACGGCAAGAUCAGGUUCUACUGCUGGGACACAGCCGGACAGGAGAAGUUCGGUGGCCUCCGUGAUGGAUACUAGUGAUCAUUGGUGCUGUUGCUGCCGCUGUGCAAGUCGGAGGUGUCGCUGCUACAUUUGGUGGAGCUAGUGCUGCCGCUCCAAAGGGCAACCUUCAUCAGACACUACCUCAUAAUAGUGCCUCAAAACUUUACCCCUUGCUAGAUCCUUCGGUGGAGGUGACCCAUGUGAUGGUGAUUCGCUCCAGCAGUUCCGGUUCCGGCAAUGGUGGUGCUACACUGCUACUGCUCCUAUGAUGGCUACGCAUUGGUAGGCUAUGCUGCCUCCCUUGGCUGUCGCUAGAUCAGCCUAGUCUACAACCACUUCCGAUGACUCAGGUCCCCUUCUACCUCUCCUACUCUCUCCAUGAUUCUUUUCUUUGCCUUUAUGAGGUGUAAUUGUUUAAUUUUUGUCAUAGUUGAGCAUUGGAUGAUAUAUUGUAUCUGUCAUGAGGUACAUGGUUCAUGGAUAUGCCAACCUGCAGCUUGUUGUCCAUACA